RNAcentral lists this ribosomal RNA (480 nucleotides) under uncultured bacterium. RNAcentral describes it as "partial 16S ribosomal RNA". It matches the Rfam family "Bacterial small subunit ribosomal RNA", at positions 28 to 507 of the family's 1533-position model. The record is from RNAcentral.
GACGAACGCUGGCGGCGCGCCUAACACAUGCAAGUCGAGCGAUGAAAUUUUAACCGAUCUCUUCGGAGAGAAGAUAAAAUGGAUUAGCGGCGGACGGGUGAGUAACACGUGAGAAACCUGCCUUUCACAAGGGGAUAGCCUCGGGAAACCGGGAUUAAUACCCUAUGACACAUUUCCUUCGCAUGGAAGAAAUGUUAAAACUCCGGUGGUGAAAGAUGGUCUCGCGCCUGAUUAGCUAGUUGGUGGGGUAACGGCCCACCAAGGCCAUGAUCAGUGACCGGCCUGAGAGGGUGAACGGUCACAUUGGAACUGAGACACGGUCCAAACUCCUACGGGAGGCAGCAGUGGGGAAUAUUGCACAAUGGAGGAAACUCUGAUGCAGCGACGCCGCGUGAGCGAUGAAGGCUUUCGAGUCGUAAAGCUCUGUCCUAUGGGAAGAUAAUGACGGUACCAUAGGAGGAAGCCCCGGCUAACUACGUG